Molecule: transfer RNA, 68 nt
Filed under: Rhizothera longirostris
Lineage: Eukaryota; Metazoa; Chordata; Aves; Galliformes; Phasianidae
Description: tRNA-Lys
Source: RNAcentral
CACUAAGAAGCUAUGAACCAGCACUAGCCUUUUAAGCUAGAGAAAGAGGAAACCCCCCUCCUUAGUGA